GACGAACGCUGGCGGCGUGCUUAACACAUGCAAGUCGAACGGUGAAGCGCUUGCCUUUUUGGUGGGUGUGGAUGAGUGGCGAACGGGUGAGUAACACGUGAGUAACCUGCCCUCUUCUUCUGGAUAACCUCAUGAAAGUGGGGCUAAUACGGGGUAUUCCGGGUCUGUCGCAUGGCGGGUUUGGGAAAGAUUGCGCCUUUGGGUGUUUUCGGUGGGGGAUGGGCUCGCGGCCUAUCAGCUUGUUGGUGGGGUGAUGGCCUACCAAGGCGGUGACGGGUAGCCGGCCUGAGAGGGUGGACGGCCACACUGGGACUGAGACACGGCCCAGACUCCUGCGGGAGGCAGCAGUGGGGAAGAUUGCACAAUGGGCGCAAGCCUGAUGCAGCGACGCCGCGUGAGGGAUGGAGGCCUUCGGGUUGUGAACCUCUUUCGCCAGUGAAGCAGGCCUGCUCCUGUGUGGGUGGGUUGACGGUAGCUGGAUAAGAAGCGCCGGCUAACUACGU
This 503-nucleotide ribosomal RNA is filed under the name uncultured bacterium. RNAcentral describes it as "partial 16S ribosomal RNA". It matches the Rfam family "Bacterial small subunit ribosomal RNA", at positions 28 to 506 of the family's 1533-position model. The record is from RNAcentral.